Molecule: transfer-messenger RNA, 365 nt
Filed under: Cupriavidus sp.
Lineage: Bacteria; Pseudomonadati; Pseudomonadota; Betaproteobacteria; Burkholderiales; Burkholderiaceae
Also listed under: 1 other name
Description: transfer-messenger RNA, SsrA
Rfam family: transfer-messenger RNA
About the family: Bacterial tmRNA, also known as 10Sa RNA or SsrA, is named for its dual tRNA and mRNA-like properties. Its role is to liberate the mRNA from a stalled ribosome.
Source: RNAcentral
GGGGCCGACCUGGUUUCGACGUGGGUAGUGAAGGAGCGCAGGGCAUACCGAGGACCGAUUCCCUCGUAAAUCCAUUCGGAAAUUAAUAAACGCCAACGACGAGCGUUUCGCUCUCGCCGCUUAAACCCGGCGGGCGCUGCACUGGUUCUCUGAUGGGCCAGGCGGGGUAAAACCCGCAGCAGUGUCAUUUACAUCAGAUCGUCACCGGAUAAGCCGUGGGUUCGGUGCCUAAAACAAGCGGAUCGUCGGUUGCCGGCCUGUCUGUCGGCUAAGCAACCCGAUUAAAUUUAAAUAGACCGACUAAGUAUGUAGAACUGUCUUUGGAAGACUUGCGGACGCGGGUUCGAUUCCCGCCGGCUCCACCA